Molecule: ribosomal RNA, 356 nt
Filed under: uncultured bacterium
Lineage: Bacteria
Description: partial 16S ribosomal RNA
Rfam family: Bacterial small subunit ribosomal RNA
Source: RNAcentral
CCUACGGGUGGCAGCAGUGAGGAAUAUUGGUCAAUGGACGAGAGUCUGAACCAGCCAAGUAGCGUGAAGGAUGACUGCUCUAUGGGUUGUAAACUUCUUUUAUAUGGGAAUAAAAUGUUCCACGUGUGGGAUUUUGUAUGUACCAUAUGAAUAAGGAUCGGCUAACUCCGUGCCAGCAGCCGCGGUAAUACGGAGGAUCCGAGCGUUAUCCGGAUUUAUUGGGUUUAAAGGGAGCGUAGGUGGAUUGUUAAGUAAGUUGUAAAAGUUUGCGGCUCAACCGUAAAAUUGCAGUUGAAACUGGCAGUCUGGAUUAAAGUAGAGGUGGGGGAAAUUGGUGGUGUGGCGGUAAAAUGCUU